Haliotis rufescens (red abalone) is the source of this 631-nucleotide long non-coding RNA. RefSeq lists it as uncharacterized. Lineage: Eukaryota; Metazoa; Mollusca; Gastropoda; Lepetellida; Haliotidae. The record is from RefSeq and is a predicted model, not a curated record. The transcript has 2 exons.
ACACAGCCGCACAUGAUGGGAAAGGUCCACAUUCGUGACAUCUUUCUUCUGGCCACAACCGCCCUCACUGCAGGUUCCGACUGCAACAAACCUGAUGGUCUGGAGUCAGUGAAUGCCCGACUCGAGGCCAUGGAACGUCAGCUUUUGGCUGUCAAUUCAACUCUCUAUGAAAAAGAAGCAAUCAUCAAAAAAAUGACGGUGUCUGACGGUUUUUUUUAGGUAACAUGCCAGAGCCAAUCACGGCUUACCCUCUAUGGUAAUCAGAUCUACAAGUUUCAAAGGGUAACUCUCAACAAUGGAGGAGGCUACCACGCAUCUACUGGUAUAUUUGAAUCUCCUGUGACUGGCACUUACCUAUUCUGGGCCAGCAUACUACCGUAUUCAGGAAAAUACGUCCACGUCGUCCUAAUGAAAGAAAAACAUGCUUUGUUUUCCACUACUUCCAAGGGGGCUCCUGCGAGUUUUUCAUACAUUGUACGAGUCCGGCAGGGAGAAAAAGUAUGGUUUCGAACAUUUCCGUACACAACAGUUAUUUGGUGUUCCGUCCACUCAGGUUAUGGAGGAACCUUGAUUCAUAAGCACUGAUUGGAACACCCCCAGUCAAUCUGAAUAAAGAAACAUUGGGUUAGAA